GGCCACGUGGCUCAGCAGGGAGAGCACCGGCUUGUCACGCCGGAGGUCGCGGGUUCGAGCCCCGUCGUGGUCGCC
Molecule: transfer RNA, 75 nt
Filed under: Actinomadura macrotermitis
Lineage: Bacteria; Bacillati; Actinomycetota; Actinomycetes; Streptosporangiales; Thermomonosporaceae
Description: Actinomadura sp. RB68 tRNA-Asp
Rfam family: tRNA
About the family: Transfer RNA (tRNA) molecules are approximately 80 nucleotides in length. Their secondary structure includes four short double-helical elements and three loops (D, anti-codon, and T loops).
Source: RNAcentral